AGAGUUUGAUCCUGGCUCAGGACGAACGCUGGCGGCGUGCUUAACACAUGCAAGUCGAGCGGUAAGGCCUCUUCGGGGGUACACGAGCGGCGAACGGGUGAGUAACACGUGGGUGACCUGCCCUCAGCUCUGGGAUAAGCCUGGGAAACUGGGUCUAAUACCGGAUAUGACCUGCUGUCGCAUGACGGUGGGUGGAAAGUUUUUCGGCUGGGGAUGGGCCCGCGGCCUAUCAGCUUGUUGGUGGGGUGAUGGCCUACCAAGGCGACGACGGGUAGCCGGCCUGAGAGGGCGACCGGCCACACUGGGACUGAGAUACGGCCCAGACUCCUACGGGAGGCAGCAGUGGGGAAUAUUGCGCAAUGGGCGAAAGCCUGACGCAGCGACGCCGCGUGGGGGAUGACGGCCUUCGGGUUGUAAACCUCUUUCGACCGGGACGAAGCGUGAGUGACGGUACCGGUAGAAGAAGCACCGGCCAACUACGUGCCAGCAGCCGCGGUAAUACGUAGGGUGCGAGCGUUGUCCGGAAUUAUUGGGCGUAAAGAGCUCGUAGGCGGUGUGUCGCGUCGGUCGUGAAAACUUGGGGCUUAACCCUGAGCGUGCGGUCGAUACGGGCAUCACUUGAGUUCGGCAGGGGAGACUGGAAUUCCUGGUGUAGCGGUGAAAUGCGCAGAUAUCAGGAGGAACACCGGUGGCGAAGGCGGGUCUCUGGGCCGAUACUGACGCUGAGGAGCGAAAGCGUGGGGAGCGAACAGGAUUAGAUACCCUUGUAGUCC
RNAcentral lists this ribosomal RNA (773 nucleotides) under uncultured Pseudonocardia sp. RNAcentral's name for it is "bacterial SSU rRNA". It matches the Rfam family "Bacterial small subunit ribosomal RNA", at positions 8 to 796 of the family's 1533-position model. Lineage: Bacteria; Bacillati; Actinomycetota; Actinomycetes; Pseudonocardiales; Pseudonocardiaceae. The record is from RNAcentral.